Molecule: long non-coding RNA, 1057 nt
Organism: Panonychus citri (citrus red mite)
Lineage: Eukaryota; Metazoa; Arthropoda; Arachnida; Trombidiformes; Tetranychidae
Exons: 2
Source: RefSeq, a predicted model, not a curated record
AAUCGAGUUAAUUUCGUUCAUUGUUCAAUUGGAAACAAUUUAAUUUAAUUAACUCUAAUUGAAUUUUAUUUUUGUUUCUUCCUGUUUUCUUAAUUGAUUUGGUUAUUUCAAUCAAUUGGUCAAUUUUACUGGUGACAGAAAUUUAAAUUGUUUUCUUAGUUUCUUUAUGUUUCUAAUUGCAAAAAAGAAACUAAAACAUAUAAUUUGAGAGAUUCAAUGAACUGAUAUUGUUUUGAUUGCUGCGGGUAAAUCAAUUAUUAUUUAUCAAUAAUUAACGUCUAUUAGUGAUGGUAAUCGGUUUCUUUUUUGAUUGUUGAGGAUGGCCUGAGACUGAAUUGAUACAAUUGGAUUGAAGUAAAUGGUGUUUAUAAUCAAUUGAUUUGAAAAGAUUAAUCUUUUACCCUUUGUUAUUAGUCAGCUGAUGAUCUUGUUACUUUUUGGUGGUUUUGGUUUUAUCAUCUUUACCAAUCAAAGUGUUUAAACAAUAAUUUAAAUUGUUUGUGAUGAUGAGGGUGAUAAUCAGCAAAUUAUAUGCUAAUUGCGCUCAAAUUUAUUGACCUCUUGUGUUUGUUUUGUGUGACAGAUAAACAAACAGACAGACACACACACAGAAUAACAUAUCAAACCAAAUGAUAAAAUAAUGAAUGGGAAGAAGACGAAGGAAUUUCACUAAAAUGAACCCGUAAUGAUGGAAAACGGAAUGGAAAUGAAACAAAAUUCUGUUGACGAAGAUGGAUGAGAGAUAGAAAUUAACUGACAAAAAUUCAUCAGAUUAUGAUAAACAAAUUGUUUGGAUUUCCUGUCAUUUAUACAAAGAAAAACUUCAAUAAUAAUGAAGUGGAUUAACUUUCCCAAAAUGAUAAUCAACCCAAGUGAAAGUACAAACAACAACAAUCAACAAGAGAAUGAGUUAUAUUACAUAUAAUCAAUCCAAUCACCAUGAUGAUCAUGACGGUUACAACUAAUACAAGAUAAUUGUGAAUUUGAAAGGUUUAAUUGUAAUGACAAUUACAAAUUAGAAAAUGAUCAUCUUAAGAUUAUAAUUUAAUGACAACAA